GCGAGACAUUAUGAUAUUAGCGCAUCUACUUGUAGAGCGUGACCUCCACUUUCUAACUCUGUGCAUUUAUUGGCGGAAGGACUUGAGCAAUCGAGUUUCCUUCUGCGGCUCAUUUUAAAACACUAGUUAAAGUAUGUAACGAAAUAUCGAAACAAAAAAAAACUUUCAACAACGGAUCUCUUGGCUUGCUCAUCGAUGAAGAACGCAGCGAAAUGUGAUAAGUAAUGUGAAUUGCAGAAUUCAGUGAAUCAUCGAAUCUUUGAACGCACCUUGCGCUCUCUGGUAUUCCGGAGAGCAUGUCUGUUUGAGUGUCAUGAACUCUUCAACCCACCAUUUUCUUGUAGACUGAUUGGUGUUUGGUUUCUGAGCGUUGCUGGUCUUCGGAUCUAGCUCGUUCGUAAUAUAUUAACAUCUCUAAUUCGAACUCGGAUUGACUCAGUGUAAUAAACUAUUCGCUGUCAACUUUAAAUUAAACCUCAGAUCAGGCAGGAUUACCCGCUGAACUUAAGCAUAUCAAUAAGCGGAAGAAA
Molecule: ribosomal RNA, 530 nt
Filed under: Leucosporidium scottii
Lineage: Eukaryota; Fungi; Basidiomycota; Microbotryomycetes; Leucosporidiales; Leucosporidiaceae
Description: eukaryotic LSU rRNA
Rfam family: 5.8S ribosomal RNA (bases 161-314)
Source: RNAcentral